UAGUCCACGCCGUAAACGAUGAGUACUAGCUGUUGGGACCCUUUGAGGUCUUAGUGGCGCAGCUAACGCAUUAAGUACUCCGCCUGGGGAUUACGGCCGCAAGGCUAAAACUCAAAGGAAUUGACGGGGGGCCCGCACAAGCGGUGGAGCAUGCGGUUUAAUUCGAUGCAACGCGAAAAACCUUACCUACUCUUGACAUCCUUGGAAGAAUCUAGAGAUAGAUUUGUGCCUUCGGGAACCAAGUGACAGGUGCUGCAUGGCUGUCGUCAGCUCGUGUCGUGAGAUGUUGGGUUAAGUCCCGUAACGAGCGCAACCCUUAUCCCUUGUUGCCAGCACGUAAUGGUGGGAACUCUAGGGAGACUGCCGGUGACAAACCGGGAGGAAGGCGGGGACGAUGUCAAGUCAUCAUGGG
RNAcentral lists this ribosomal RNA (412 nucleotides) under uncultured bacterium. RNAcentral's name for it is "bacterial SSU rRNA". It matches the Rfam family "Bacterial small subunit ribosomal RNA", at positions 791 to 1199 of the family's 1533-position model. The record is from RNAcentral.